RNAcentral lists this ribosomal RNA (461 nucleotides) under uncultured bacterium. Its description in RNAcentral is "bacterial SSU rRNA". It matches the Rfam family "Bacterial small subunit ribosomal RNA", at positions 917 to 1382 of the family's 1533-position model. The record is from RNAcentral.
GGACCCGCACAAGCGGUGGAUGAUGUGGAUUAAUUCGAUGCAACGCGAAAAACCUUACCUACCCUUGACAUGGCAGGAAUCCCGAAGAGAUUUGGGAGUGCUCGCAAGAGAACCUGCACACAGGUGCUGCAUGGCUGUCGUCAGCUCGUGUCGUGAGAUGUUGGGUUAAGUCCCGCAACGAGCGCAACCCUUGUCAUUAGUUGCUACGAAAGGGCACUCUAAUGAGACUGCCGGUGACAAACCGGAGGAAGGUGGGGAUGACGUCAAGUCCUCAUGGCCCUUAUGGGUAGGGCUUCACACGUCAUACAAUGGUACAUACAGAGGGCCGCCAACCCGCGAGGGGGAGCUAAUCCCAGAAAGUGUAUCGUAGUCCGGAUUGUAGUCUGCAACUCGACUACAUGAAGUUGGAAUCGCUAGUAAUCGCGGAUCAGCAUGUCGCGGUGAAUACGUUCCCGGGUCUU